This 164-nucleotide ribosomal RNA is filed under the name Caputia scaposa. RNAcentral describes it as "5.8S ribosomal RNA". It matches the Rfam family "5.8S ribosomal RNA". From Rfam's summary of the family: 5.8S ribosomal RNA (5.8S rRNA) is a component of the large subunit of the eukaryotic ribosome. It is transcribed by RNA polymerase I as part of the 45S precursor that also contains 18S and 28S rRNA. Lineage: Eukaryota; Viridiplantae; Streptophyta; Magnoliopsida; Asterales; Asteraceae. The record is from RNAcentral.
CAUACGACUCUCGGCAACGGAUAUCUCGGCUCACGCAUCGAUGAAGAACGUAGCAAAAUGCGAUACUUGGUGUGAAUUGCAGAAUCCCGUGAACCAUCGAGUUUUUGAACGCAAGUUGCGCCCGAAGCCUUUUGGCCGAGGGCACGUCUGCCUGGGCGUCACAC